This 476-nucleotide ribosomal RNA is filed under the name uncultured bacterium. Its description in RNAcentral is "bacterial SSU rRNA". It matches the Rfam family "Bacterial small subunit ribosomal RNA", at positions 30 to 524 of the family's 1533-position model. The record is from RNAcentral.
AUUGAACGCUGGCGGCAUGCCUUACACAUGCAAGUCGAACGGCAGCACGGGAGCAAUCCUGGUGGCGAGUGGCGAACGGGUGAGUAAUAUAUCGGAACGUGCCCAGUCGUGGGGGAUAACGUAGCGAAAGUUACGCUAAUACCGCAUACGAUCUAUGGAUGAAAGCGGGGGAUCGCAAGACCUCGCGCGAUUGGAGCGGCCGAUAUCAGAUUAGGUAGUUGGUGGGGUAAAGGCUCACCAAGCCGACGAUCUGUAGCUGGUCUGAGAGGACGACCAGCCACACUGGGACUGAGACACGGCCCAGACUCCUACGGGAGGCAGCAGUGGGGAAUUUUGGACAAUGGGCGCAAGCCUGAUCCAGCAAUGCCGCGUGGAUGAAGAAGGUCUUCGGAUUGUAAAGUCCUUCCGACGGGGACGAUGAUGACGGUACCCGUAGAAGAAGCCCCGGCUAACUUCGUGCCAGCAGCCGCGGUAAU